This is a long non-coding RNA of Lontra canadensis (Northern American river otter), 722 nucleotides long. RefSeq lists it as uncharacterized. Lineage: Eukaryota; Metazoa; Chordata; Mammalia; Carnivora; Mustelidae. The record is from RefSeq and is a predicted model, not a curated record. The transcript is spliced from 3 exons.
AUGAUGAGAUUAAAGGACUUUUCUAGUAGGAUACAUGAAUAAUUGAACUAGAAGGAUAUAGGUAGUCUGGGAACUUGAUAUUGGCAUCCGAGAUUUCAGAGAUGGUGCAAGGUGUCCCAGGGUGCAGCAAUAAGUGGAGGUAACUGAAAUAGAGGGAAGGAAAGAUCAUAUGAGACCAAGAGGUGAAGAAACUGAGAUGCCAGAGAAUUAAAAUGGUAUUUCCUGGGAAUGCUGGAUUUACAAAGAGUGACAGAAUUUGGAGUGGAAAGGAAGCCUGGGAACAAGGGAAUGAAGAAGUAUGGCCAGGAGGUGACAGAGAUGAGGAAGCUCUCCAAACACAGUCUGGAUCCUCCCACCUCUGAACUCUGCCUCCAGUGCUCCCUCAUCUGAGGUGCCCUAUUUAAGCCCCCAACUGUCUUUAAUGCUUGGCCCAAAUGCACACUCUCUGCAAAAUCCUACAAGACAUCUCCAGUCAGAAACAACAGAUCCUGCUUCUGAUUUCAUAAGAGAGGCAGAUGAAUGGAAGCAUUGAGGCCAAACUACAGCUUCUGCAAAUAGGCAAGAAGCCUGAACACCUACUCACUUGUCUCUGAUUUAUUUGGAAACAAAGAAGGGAGGAGGAGAAAGAGAAGAAUCGGACAGGUAUUUAAGGUCUUCCUGGACUCACCAGUCAGCACUACCAUCUGGAAUAUGAUUAAACAGCGUGCGGCGCGUAGGAAGAC